GUUGCGGUGGCCGAGUGGUUAAGGCGUUGGACUAGAAAUCAAAUUGGAUCUUAACGCGCAGGCUCGAAUCCUGCCCGCAACG
RNAcentral lists this transfer RNA (82 nucleotides) under Nematostella vectensis (starlet sea anemone). It matches the Rfam family "tRNA". Rfam says of the family: Transfer RNA (tRNA) molecules are approximately 80 nucleotides in length. Their secondary structure includes four short double-helical elements and three loops (D, anti-codon, and T loops). Further hydrogen bonds mediate the characteristic L-shaped molecular structure. tRNAs have two regions of fundamental functional importance: the anti-codon, which is responsible for specific mRNA codon recognition, and the 3' end, to which the tRNAs corresponding amino acid is attached (by aminoacyl-tRNA synthetases). tRNAs cope with the degeneracy of the genetic code in two manners: having more than one tRNA (with a specific anti-codon) for a particular amino acid; and 'wobble' base-pairing, i.e. permitting non-standard base-pairing at the 3rd anti-codon position. The record is from Rfam by way of RNAcentral. Lineage: Eukaryota; Metazoa; Cnidaria; Anthozoa; Actiniaria; Edwardsiidae.